Molecule: long non-coding RNA, 438 nt
Filed under: Malus domestica (apple)
Lineage: Eukaryota; Viridiplantae; Streptophyta; Magnoliopsida; Rosales; Rosaceae
Description: long non-coding RNA (MDOM_LNC011452)
Source: RNAcentral
AUAUCCCAAAUUUCCCUUUUUUUUCAAAUUCUAUGGUUAAAAACCCUACUUGCUUCUAAAUUAAUUUCGAUGCUUUGACUCAAAUUCCACAUAGCAUAUUUGCAUAUUGCAUGAACAAAUAUAUAUAUUGACAAAAUGUAUGAACACAUAUCCAAUAUAUAUACAAGAUUCUAAAAAAUGCUAGGCGCUAGUCGGGCGGCGGGCUGGCGCCUAACGCUUAGGCGGCUAGGAGGGGUCUAGGCGGAUUUAUUUAAUUUUCUUGUAUAUCUUGUAAAUAAGUGCAUAUUCACACUUAAAAAAAAAAAUUAUACUUGUAUGAAAUCCAUGGAUAAGAUAAACAAAAAAUGAUAAAAUGCAAAAAGAGUAUCCAACAAGUUCACAAUUUUAAACCACUUAGACUUAGAUAGGAUUUUUUUAUUUUAUUUUUUAAUUUCAUUA